Molecule: ribosomal RNA, 805 nt
Filed under: uncultured bacterium
Lineage: Bacteria
Description: bacterial SSU rRNA
Rfam family: Bacterial small subunit ribosomal RNA
Source: RNAcentral
AGAGUUUGAUCAUGGCUCAGAUUGAACGCUGGCGGUAUGCUUAACACAUGCAAGUCGAACGGUAACAGGCCUUCGGGCGCUGACGAGUGGCGGACGGGUGAGUAACGCGUAGGAAUCUGCCUCAUAGUGGGGGACAACGUGGGGAAACCCACGCUAAUACCGCAUACGCCCUACGGGGGAAAGCGGGGGCUCUUCGGACCUCGCGCUAUGAGAUGAGCCUGCGUUAGAUUAGCUAGUUGGUAGGGUAAAUGCCUACCAAGGCGACGAUCUAUAGCUGGUCUGAGAGGACGAUCAGCCACACUGGGACUGAGACACGGCCCAGACUCCUACGGGAGGCAGCAGUGGGGAAUAUUGGACAAUGGGCGGAAGCCUGAUCCAGCAAUACCGCGUGUGUGAAGAAGGCCUUAGGGUUGUAAAGCACUUUCAAUUGGGAGGAAAACCUGCCGGUCAAUACCCGGUAGCUUGACAUUACCUUUAGAAGAAGCACCGGCUAACUCCGUGCCAGCAGCCGCGGUAAUACGGAGGGUGCGAGCGUUAAUCGGAAUUACUGGGCGUAAAGCGUGCGUAGGCGGUUCGUUAAGUCAGAUGUGAAAGCCCUGGGCUCAACCUGGGAACGGCAUUUGAAACUGGCGGACUAGAGUUUAGUAGAGGGGAGUGGAAUUUCAGGUGUAGCGGUGAAAUGCGUAGAUAUCUGAAGGAACACCAGUGGCGAAGGCGACUCCCUGGACUAGAACUGACGCUGAGGUACGAAAGCGUGGGUAGCAAACAGGAUUAGAUACCCUGGUAGUCCACGCCGUAAACGAUG